Molecule: ribosomal RNA, 304 nt
Filed under: uncultured bacterium
Lineage: Bacteria
Description: partial 16S ribosomal RNA
Rfam family: Bacterial small subunit ribosomal RNA
Source: RNAcentral
CAGCAGUCGCCGCGGGAAUACGAAGGGUGCAAGCGUUAAUCGGAAUUACUGGGCGUAAAGCGUGCGUAGGCGGUUUGUUAAGUCUGCUGUGAAAUCCCCGGGCUCAACCUGGGAAUGGCAGUGGAUACUGGCAAGCUAGAGUGUGUCAGAGGAUGGUGGAAUUCCCGGUGUAGCGGUGAAAUGCGUAGAGAUCGGGAGGAACAUCAGUGGCGAAGGCGGCCAUCUGGGACAACACUGACGCUGAGGCACGAAAGCGUGGGGAGCAAACAGGAUUAGAUACCCCCGUAGUCCCUGUCUCUUAUAC